This is a long non-coding RNA of Melospiza melodia melodia, 2051 nucleotides long. RefSeq lists it as uncharacterized. Lineage: Eukaryota; Metazoa; Chordata; Aves; Passeriformes; Passerellidae. The transcript has 6 exons. The record is from RefSeq and is a predicted model, not a curated record.
CGUGGCUCGGAGGCGCUUUGGAGGCGUUGAUGGCAUCGCUGGGUUCGGUUUGCAGCGGGUGUCCGCUAAGGGAUACGGUGUUCUUCCUGAGUGGGCACGGUUCUCGGUGCCGGGUACUGAGAAAAUACGUCUCCCUUAGAGUACCGCGGAAAGGUUCUCAGUGCGCUCUCUAUCAAGUGCUAUGAGUCUUGAUAAAUUGGAGAAGAGCCCAAGAGAAAUUUUUCAUCCCUUGAUAUAAAAGGAUUUAUUGGUUCUGGAAGAACAAGAGGGAAGUACAAGCCUAACUACUUCUAGCUCACAGGCCCGUCCAGUGAACCCAGGGACCGGUGAAUUUUAACUUUGGAGUCCCCUAUGCUAAGGAUGCUCAGCUUACAGGUGAUGAAAUGUUCAGUAAUGUAUUUGCUGCAGCUCUGCUUACCCAAGCUUUGGGUUCCUUCUGUCCCACUGGGAGUUGCCCAGUUUGGUUGCAUCUGGUGAAAUUCACCCUGAGACCUUACAGAACUAGCUCCAACUACGUGAGAGCCAUUUGCAGUUCUCUCCAGACACCUGGAGAAUGGGUGACGUUUCUGAGGAUCCGGCGAGCGUGCUUCUAUCAAAACUCAGUCUGUGAAAUUCCUGGGGAAAACCCUUCUGUGUCCUGAAGGGUUCAAACUCUGGUGAGGAUCCAGUUAUCAGGGGCUCACCUGGAUGGUUCCAGCUCCCAAAGUUAACACUUCUACUCUUGCCCUGUAGUUUACAUCUAUUGUAUUUUUGUUAUUUUGCAACAUUUUUUGUCUUUGCAAAAUAUUGUGCAUUUCACUCUUUGGAACCUCUCAGAUGGUUCUUUGGUGCAGCACCACCCCAGGGGACACUUGGCUGCUGUCCUGAAGGGUUUGGUCGCUAGAAUUGUGAAUCCUGGAGAGUUUGUGAGUCUUCUGUCCCCAGGGAGGUGUCGUGCUUUGUUUACUUUUGUUCUGUUGGUUAGGCGCUGCUUCUCGUUGCAAGUAUGAAUUUCAAACUGCCCUGUUCUUAUUUUAACUGUUUUCCUGGUUCUCUCUGUCCGGCAGGGAAAGACUCUCGUAUCCUUGUCGUCGGGCUCGGUGCUGUCCAAGAAGAUACAGAGACUAAAAAAAUCAUAAGAAGCAAAAUAUGACUGCAGGGAAAAGAAGCUGGAGAGAACAGAAGGUGAUGUUGUUAUCCUUACCCUGUAUUAGAAACAUCCGCUGUGCUUUGAUGCUGGCAGCUGCCAGGGGCUUGUUAGCUCUUUGUAGGCAGGUGUAGGUGUUCACUUGUAGGUUUUUUCUCUGGACAAGGCAAUUCAAACUUUGCUAAGCUUAUAUUUGCAGAUUGCUCUCUAGCACAGUCCAGCAUGACAUUUUUGAAUGUUGUAAAAAUACCAUGUUACUUGGAAAUUGCUAAUGAAGAGAAGCUUUAGGGGAAAAUAAGAUUUCAGGGUUGGAAGAUGUGAGAAGAAUUUUGUGGGGACGUUAGACUGAAGUAAAGCACACUUGAAGCUGGACUGGCACGCUGGCAGGUCCCAUAUUAAACAGUAGUGCUGAGAUUAGCCUGGGGGUUGCCCAUUGUUUCUGUAGAAAUCAAUGUUUCCUGGUCUUGAGAGGGAAGCUGCUUUGAAAAGCUGGAAGGUGCAGCAUGCUGACAAUCCCCGUGCUUUGGAUUAAAAGUAGAUUUCAGAAGGGUCCUAAGCUUUUGUCUUUUCCUUGAAGUUGAUGUAAUCCUAUCGAGGAGUUUUUAGUUCUGUGUUGCCAUGUCAUCCAUCAGAGCCCUGUUGUACUAAUCUUCAUACAAGUACAAAACAAAAAAUCAGACCCUGUCCCAAGCACUUAGAGGCCAGAACACGAUUUCCUCGGGCUGCCAUUUGUGUGCCAUCGGUACUCACCACGAAUUGAGCCCUCUGGCUCUGACAGAGCCCCUGGAUGCUGACGGAAGGGGGCUGGUCACAGACCCUGGAGGUGCCUGUCCCCCAGGGUGGGAGAGGACGAGGCAGUGUGGCCUGCAGGGAGGGUCUGGUCCCCAGAGAGCAGCCGGCGACUGCCCGGGGCUGCGGGUGCACC